UGUGUAUAAUAUGUAUAUGUGCAUGUCCAUGUGUGUAUAUCCACUGCAUACAUGCACAUAUAACACAUAUCCUCAACUCUUUAUACAAUUUACACAAGAGU
Molecule: microRNA precursor, 101 nt
Organism: Ochotona princeps (American pika)
Lineage: Eukaryota; Metazoa; Chordata; Mammalia; Lagomorpha; Ochotonidae
Source: Ensembl